Molecule: ribosomal RNA, 465 nt
Filed under: uncultured bacterium
Lineage: Bacteria
Description: partial 16S ribosomal RNA
Rfam family: Bacterial small subunit ribosomal RNA
Source: RNAcentral
CUACGGGUCGCACCAGUGGGGAAUAUUGGACAAUGGGGGAAACCCUGAUCCAGCAAUGCCGCGUGUGUGAAGAAGGCCUGCGGGUUGUAAAGCACUUUCGGUUGGGAGGACUGCUUCUAGCACUAAUAUUGUUGGAAGUUGACGUUACCUUCAGAAGAAGCACCGGCUAACUCCGUGCCAGCAGCCGCGGUAAUACGGAGGGUGCAAGCGUUAAUCGGAAUUACUGGGCGUAAAGCGCGCGUAGGCGGCAAGAUCAGUCGGGUGUGAAAGCCCCGGGCUUAACCUGGGAACUGCAUCCGAUACUGUCUAGCUUGAGUACAGGAGAGGAGAGUGGAAUUCCACAUGUAGCGGUGAAAUGCGUAGAUAUGUGGAGGAACACCAAUGGCGAAGGCAGCUCUCUGGCCUGAUACUGACGCUGAGGUGCGAAAGCGUGGGGGGCAAACAGGAUUAGAUACCCCCGUAGUC